UACGGAGGGUGCAAGCGUUAUCCGGAUUUACUGGGUUUAAAGGGUGCGUAGGUGGGUUUGUAAGUCAGCGGUGAAAUCUCUAGGCUUAACCUGGAAAUUGCCAUUGAUACUAUAGAUCUUGAAUUAUCUGGAGGUGAGCGGAAUAUGUCAUGUAGCGGUGAAAUGCUUAGAUAUGACAUAGAACACCAAUUGCGAAGGCAGCUCACUACGGAUAUAUUGACACUGAGGUACGAAAGCGUGGGGAGCGAACAGG
This 253-nucleotide ribosomal RNA is filed under the name uncultured bacterium. RNAcentral's name for it is "partial 16S ribosomal RNA". It matches the Rfam family "Bacterial small subunit ribosomal RNA", at positions 524 to 776 of the family's 1533-position model. The record is from RNAcentral.